RNAcentral lists this ribosomal RNA (874 nucleotides) under uncultured bacterium. RNAcentral describes it as "bacterial SSU rRNA". It matches the Rfam family "Bacterial small subunit ribosomal RNA", at positions 28 to 896 of the family's 1533-position model. The record is from RNAcentral.
GACGAACGCUGGCGGCGUGCUUAAGACAUGCAAGUCGCACGGACCCGCAAGGGUCAGUGGCGGACGGGUGAGUAACACGUGGAUAACCUGCCCGAAUCCCCGGGAUAACAGGCCGAAAGGCCUGCUAAUACCGGGUAAGCUCACGGGGCCGCAUGGCUCUGGGAGAAAAGGCCCCGCAAGGGGUUGGGAUCGGAGGGGUCCGCGGUCCAUUAGCUAGUUGGAGGGGUAACGGCCCACCAAGGCGACGAUGGAUAGCCGGCCUGAGAGGGCGACCGGCCACACUGGGACUGAGACACGGCCCAGACUCCUACGGGAGGCAGCAGUCGGGAAUUUUGGGCAAUGGCCGAAAGGGCUGACCCAGCAACGCCGCGUGAGUGAAGAAGGCCUUCGGGUUGUAAAGCUCUGUUGCUCGUGAAGAACGGUACUUUCAGGAAAUGGGGAGUACUUGACGGUAGCGAGUGAGGAAGCCCCGGCUAACUACGUGCCAGCAGCCGCGGUAAUACGUAGGGGGCGAGCGUUGUCCGGAUUUAUUGGGCGUAAAGGGCGUGUAGGCGGUCUGUUAAGUCAGGGGUGAAACUCCGCAGCUCAACUGCGGACCUGCCUCUGAUACUGGCGGACUUGAGUACUCUAGAGGGCAGUGGAAUUCCCGGUGUAGCAGUGAAAUGCGUAGAGAUCGGGAGGAACACCAGUGGCGAAGGCGGCUGCCUGGGGAGAAACUGACGCUGAGGCGCGAAAGCUGGGGGAGCAAACGGGAUUAGAUACCCCGGUAGUCCCAGCCGUAAACGAUGAGUGCUAGGUGUAGGGGGUAUCGACCCCCCCUGUGCCGCAGUUAACGCAAUAAGCACUCCGCCUGGGGAGUACGGCCGCAAGGUUG